GGUGCAUCUUUUAAGAUGCAGAUCUAGGGGUGAAAAACAUAUAUAUAUAUAUAUGUAUGUGUAUGUAUGUAUGUAUGUAUUCUGCCUUCAGCCCCUGAGAUUUUGGUGUACUUUCCUAUGCUGCUUGAAAGAUGGGCUGGUGGAUAUGCUUCAUCUAGCCUUUGCUGCUUCUCAGAGUUGGUGCCCGUAGCACAAUCCAUGUGGUGAGCUGAAGGAGCAGCUCCAGGAAACCACAGCCAUCCAGCUGAAGGGGCUGCAGGAGCACUGGCAGUCCACCCUCCAGCGAGCACAGAGGCGCGUGGCUUUGCUCACCCUUGAAGGGCAACCAUGAGGUAAGCCAUGGGCCCAAGAGGUCUCCAGCUGACUGACUGUGGCUCAGAUGUUGGCCCUUGGCCAACACAGCUCUUCAAGCUUGACUUAGCUCGACAGCUACUGGAACCACCUUGCUCUACUGCAACCAGGCAGCCACUCUCUCUCUUUCUAGUCUCUCUCUCUUGAUGGGCCAGCUGUGUUUUCGUGUUAACCUUGACUUCUUUCGCAGGGCGCUGAAGAAAUGCCCGGCUCUGGCAGUGGCAGCAGCGGCAGCCCCGCAGAGGUGUGGCGGCGUGAAGGCGAGAGGCGUGUAUCCGAGGGGCGGAGGGGAGGAACACGAGCGGCUCCCCGACGAGACGGGCGGGGGGGAGGUCUGCCUCCAGCAGAGCCUUCCCAAGGACGCCCCGACACCGCCGGGGACUGCGCAGGCUGAGCGAGAAGCGCGCACGGGGGGCUCCCGGGCCGCGACUUUCACAGCAAAAAAAAAAAACCUGGCGCAAACACAAAUAUUUAAAAAAAAAAAUAAUGAAAAAACAAUAAUAAUAAAACCAUGGCGUCCCUCCGGGCCGGGCCCUGCGCCCUGCGGCGGCCCCGUCCCCGUCCCCCGUCCGAGGAGGGGAGGCGCUGCGGCGGCCCCGGUGGCGGCGCUCAGGCCCUGCCGGCCGCGGCUCCUCCUCCCCGCCUUCCUCCCGCUCCUCCUCCUCCUCCUCCUCCUCCUCCUCCCGCUCGCUCCCAGGGCGCAGGGCUGACAUCACGCCCGGGGUUUCCAUCCGACCGCGGGAGGGGGAGGCUGAGCGGAGCGGCGGCGUGAUGGCGGCGGGCGCCAGGACCUGAGGAGCGGCGGCGGAGCGGAGCCGGAGCCGGAGCCGGAGCCGAGCCGGAGCCGGAGCCGGAGCCGGAGCGGCGCCCAGCCCCGCUUCUCCCCGCGCCCCUCCCUGCCCGGAGCCGGGCCCCAUUGUUCAGCCGGCCCAGGGCGGCCAGCGGGAGGAGCGGCGGCGGCGGCGCAGGCCCCG
This 1325-nucleotide long non-coding RNA is filed under the name Anas platyrhynchos platyrhynchos (common mallard). RNAcentral's name for it is "lncRNA (ENSAPLG00000024785.1)". Lineage: Eukaryota; Metazoa; Chordata; Aves; Anseriformes; Anatidae. The record is from RNAcentral.